RNA transcript from Parus major (Great Tit), 4092 nucleotides. It is a transcript of the gene named Sin3A associated protein 130, with no coding region annotated. NCBI's taxonomy places the organism in Eukaryota, Metazoa, Chordata, Aves, Passeriformes, Paridae. The record is from RefSeq and is a predicted model, not a curated record. The transcript has 22 exons.
CCCGGGCACAGGUACUGCCGCAGCCGGCGCACGGCAUCACCCAGGUCUGCGGGCCGGGGGUGGCUCCGAGGAAGGGCCGCGGGUGACAUGAGCUCGCAGCAGUUCCCCCGUUCGGGCGCGCCUCCCGCCUCCCUGGGACCAGCACCGCCGCCCAUCCCCACCAGCGGCUCCGCCGGGAUUAUCGCCCCCGCCGCCACAGUGAGUGAGGAAUCUAGUCGUGAGUCAGAAGUUACUCCCAGAGAGCACAUGGGCCCCAGUGGCUCCAUCCAGCCCCGCGAGGAGAAGCAGGAGCCCGUGGUGGUUCGGCCGUACCCACAGGUCCAGAUGCUGACACAGCACCACCCUGUCCAGUCUGGUGCCCCAGUGACAGUGACAGCACCACCAGCACAUUUGACUCCAGCUGUGCCACUUUCUUUUUCAGAUGGACUUAUGAAGCCUCCCUUGAAGCCCACCAUGCCCAGCCGGCCCAUUGCUCCUGCUCCACCCUCCACUCUCUCAGCUCCCACAAAGGUCCCUGGGCAAGUGACUGUGACCAUGGAAAGCAACAUACCACAGGCUCCAACAAUUCCUGUGGCAACUAUCAGUGGGCAGCAGGGACAUCCCAGUAACUUGCAUCAUAUCAUGGCCACCAACGUGCAGAUGUCCAUCAUCAGGAGUAGUGCUCCUGGGCCUCCACUGCACAUUGGAGCUUCUCAUCUGCCCCGAGGUGCAGCAGCUGCUGCAGUGAUGUCCAGUUCUAAGGUAACCACAGUCCUGAGGCCAGCCUCGCAGUUGCCCAACGCAGCCGCGGCCCAGCCAGCAGUUCAGCACAUCAUUCACCAGCCAAUCCAGUCUCGUCCUCCUGUGACAAGUUCAAGCACUAUUCCUCCUGCAGUGGUGGCAACUGUCUCAGCCACGAGAGCUCAGUCCCCUGUCAUAACCACAACAGCAGCACAUGCCACAGAGUCAACCCUCAGUCGCCCCACGCUGUCCAUCCAGCAGCACCCGCCUUCUGCCGCCAUCAGCAUCCAGCGGCCGGCGCAGGCGCGGGACACGGCCACGCGGAUCACGCUGCCCUCGCACCCAGCCAUAGGCACACAGAAACCACAGCUCCACACCAUGGCUCAGAAAACCAUUUUCAGUACUGGUACUCCAGUGGCAGCAGCAACUGUGGCACCUAUUUUGGCAACGAAUACCAUUGCUUCAGCAACCACAGCUGGUUCUGUUUCUCACACCCAAGCGCCUACAAGCACCAUUGUUACCAUGACAAUGCCCUCACAUUCUUCCCAUGCUACAGCUGUCACGACCUCAAACAUCCCAGUUGCUAAAGUGGUUCCCCAGCAAAUCACACACACUUCUCCCCGGAUCCAAUCUGAUUACACAGCAGAGAGGAGUAACCUCAUACCUCUGUCCAGCCACCGAGCAUCUCCAAACCCAGUAGCCAUGGAAACCAGAAAUGACAACAGGCAGUCGGUGCCUGUCCAGUUCCAGUAUUUCUUACCUACCUACCCCCCCUCUGCCUACCCUCUGACUGCCCACACCUACACCCCCAUCACCAGCUCCGUGUCCACCAUCCGCCAGUAUCCAGUUUCAGCCCAGGCACCCAACUCGGCCAUCACAGCUCAGACCGGUGUCGGAGUGGCCUCCACUGUGCACCUGAACCCCAUGCAGCUGAUGACAGUCGAUGCAUCUCACGCCCGGCACAUCCAGGGCAUCCAGCCCGCCCCCAUCAGUGCCCAGGGCAUCCAGCCCGCCCCCAUCAGUGCCCAGGGCAUCCAGCCAGCGCCCAUUGGAACCCAAGGACUGCACCCUGCUGCACCCAUGGGCACGCAGGGGCUGCAGCCAGCACCCAUCGGUGCCCAGCAGCCACCGGGUGACACCAAGACCUCAGCAGUAGUCUUGGCAGAUGGAGCCACCAUUGUAGCUAAUCCUAUUAGCAACACAUUCAACACUGCUUCUGCAGCAACUACAGUUGUGCAAACCCACAACCAGAGUGCCAGUGCCAGUGCUCCAGCCCAGGGCUCCUCCCCACGCCCGAGCAUCCUUCGCAAGAAGCCAGCCACGGAUGGGCUGGCAGUCCGGAAAAGUUUAAUUCCCCCGCAGCCACCUGAAGUGGCCAGCACACGUGUGGAGAGCACCAUGCGAAGCACGUCUGGAUCACCAAGGCCUGCUGGUGGCAAGCCAAAGCCUGAAAUCCACGUGUCCAUGGCCACCCCAGUGCCUGUGUCUAUGGAGGCGGUGUGUAACCAGGGUGGUGAGCAGCCCACUAUCACAGUGCCCCCAACCUCCCAGCAGCCCCCCUCUGCCAUUCCGACGAUCAUCGCGGCCGCCAGUCCCACCUCCCAGCCUGCAGCAGCACUGUCUGCCAUUCCAGGAGCUGUUCCAGCUGCUCCACCAACUUCCACCACCAUCGUGGCAGCACCUGCUCCUCCAUCCACCAUGAGUGGGGCCCUGUCAGCGGUGCUGGGCCCUGUAGUACCAGAGAUCAAAAUCAAAGAGGAAAUGGAGCCUAUGGACAUCAUGCGACCAGUAUCUGCAGUCCCUCCUUUGACUACAAGUACUGUGUCUCCAUCUUUGGCACUGCUGGCCAACAAUCUUUCCAUGCCUCCAAGCGAUUUGCCACCUGGUGCCUCACCCAGAAAGAAACCCCGUAAGCAGCAGCAUGUCAUCUCCACGGAGGAAGGGGACAUGAUGGAAACAAACAGCACUGAUGAUGAGAAAUCCACUGCCAAAAGUUUGCUGGUGAAGGCAGAGAAGCGAAAGUCCCCUCCAAAGGAGUAUAUAGAUGAGGAAGGUGUAAGAUACGUCCCUGUGCGUCCCAGGCCGCCGAUCACGCUGCUCCGUCAUUACCGCAACCCCUGGAAAGCUGCGUACCACCACUUCCAGAGAUACAGUGACGUCCGUGUCAAAGAAGAGAAGAAGGCCAUGCUGCAAGAGAUUGCCAAUCAGAAGGGUGUGUCCUGUCGUGCACAAGGGUGGAAGGUCCAUCUCUGUGCAGCGCAGCUACUACAGCUGAUGAUCAAAACUGGCAACUCCCUCCUGCUGAUGCACAGGUCUGAAGAAGCGUCUGUUUGGGAUGGUGCGGCUGAUCUGAGGAGGCAGCACUGAUCCACAUUCCUGGAUGCUUCUGUUUCAGGUUGGGGGUGAGACAAACCUGGAGCACGAUGUGUAUGAGAGACUGACUGCCCUGCAAGAGGGACUCAUUCCUAAGAAAAAGGCAGCGACCGAUGACGACUUGCAUCGAAUCAAUGAACUGAUACAGGGGAAUAUGCAGAGGUGUAAACUCGUGAUGGAUCAAAUCAAUGAGGCUCGAGACUCCAUGCUAAAGGUCUUGGAUCAUAAGGAUCGUGUUUUGAAGCUUCUAAACAAGAAUGGAACUGUCAAGAAAGUGUCCAAAUUGAAGCGAAAGGAGAAGGUUUGAACGCAGAUUAAUGACUUUGGAAAUGGAGAACAUGUGCAGAACGGAGCUGAACCUUUUUGUAGUUUGGGUUUAUUUUUAAGCAGAGCAUCGGAAUAAAAAAGGAUGAGUUUAGGGAGCGGAUGGACACAUGAAGCCUAGUGACCUGAAGGGAUUGUCCUUGAUCUUGUCAUAAUGAACAAAGAUUUCUCUCAGGCUCAUCCCUUUUUUAAGUCUUUCCAGUCUCACUGUGUCAGGUAUGGACCCAGCUGUAAGGCAGGAGGUUGUGCAGGGGACUCCAGGAGGCUGACAUAACAGCUAUGGACCCAGACAGCAGCCAAGCUUCCAGCAGUGGAAAUGGCACCUCUUUGUUACCCCAUUCAGUUCUCAUUCUGACCUUCCAGUGUCUAAAGCAGCCUUCUUACACCAGUGCCACCGCACUAGGGGAUCUGCCACCAAGAAUCUCCAGCAGUUCAGAAGUCCUAGCUGUCAAGAUUAAAAAAAAAAAAAAAAAAAGAAAAAAAAAAAGAAAAAUAAAAGGGGGGAGGGGGGAAAUAAUUUCAAAGUGAUACUGUAGUGUCUGUGUCUGUGUUGGUGCUCUGGGAUACUUGUGUCGAGGUACCUCUUGCAACAGAGGUGCUAUAGCUGGUGUAAUGUUAAUUGUACGUACCACAUACAUCCUAAAAACAUGAAUAAAGGAAUUGGAAGGUUUUGUA